UCGGGAAUAUUGCGCAAUGGAGGAAACUCUGACGCAGUGACGCCGCGUGCAGGAAGAAGGUUUUCGGAUUGUAAACUGCUUUAGACAGGGAAGAAACAAGACAGUACCUGUAGAAUAAGCUCCGGCUAACUACGUGCCAGCAGCCGCGGUAAUACGUAGGGAGCAAGCGUUAUCCGGAUUUAUUGGGUGUAAAGGGUGCGUAGACGGGAAGUCAAGUUAGUUGUGAAAUCCCUCGGCUUAACUGAGGAACUGCAACUAAAACUAACUUUCUUGAGUGCUGGAGAGGAAAGUGGAAUUCCUAGUGUAGCGGUGAAAUGCGUAGAUAUUAGGAGGAACACCAGUGGCGAAGGCGACUUUCUGGACAGUAACUGACGUUGAGGCACGAAAGUGUGGGGAGCAAACAGG
This 405-nucleotide ribosomal RNA is filed under the name uncultured bacterium. Its description in RNAcentral is "bacterial SSU rRNA". It matches the Rfam family "Bacterial small subunit ribosomal RNA", at positions 355 to 776 of the family's 1533-position model. The record is from RNAcentral.